Molecule: non-coding RNA, 201 nt
Organism: Pelobates cultripes (western spadefoot toad)
Lineage: Eukaryota; Metazoa; Chordata; Amphibia; Anura; Pelobatidae
Source: the annotation of a GenBank genome assembly
GUUUGACUCCGUGGGAGAAGUACUACCAAAAAAUUGCAAUCUUUGGAAUAUUUAACAAAGAAAAUAUUUAGGUUGUCCCAAGAUUCCAUACGAUGGCAUACAUAAUGUGACCGCUAAUAGAAAAUGUUAUUCUGGUGAAAAGAGAUAAUAGAAAAUUGUAUUCUGGAGAGGAAAGAUGCUACUGUCACAGGAAAGUAAUUC